RNAcentral lists this ribosomal RNA (501 nucleotides) under uncultured Candidatus Portiera sp. Its description in RNAcentral is "bacterial SSU rRNA". It matches the Rfam family "Bacterial small subunit ribosomal RNA", at positions 547 to 1050 of the family's 1533-position model. Lineage: Bacteria; Pseudomonadati; Pseudomonadota; Gammaproteobacteria; Johnevansiales (SeqCode); Johnevansiaceae (SeqCode). The record is from RNAcentral.
GGAAUUACUGGGCGUAAAGCGCGCGUAGGUGGUUGUUAAGUUGGAUGUGAAAGCCCUGGGCUCAACCUAGGAACUGCAUCCAAAACUAACUCACUAGAGUACGAUAGAGGGAGGUAGAAUUCAUAGUGUAGCGGUGGAAUGCGUAGAUAUUAUGAAGAAUACCAGUGGCGAAGGCGGCCUCCUGGAUCUGUACUGACACUGAGGUGCGAAAGCGUGGGUAGCGAACAGGAUUAGAUACCCUGGUAGUCCACGCCGUAAACGAUGACAACUAGCUGUUGGAAGACAACGUCUUUCAGUGGCGCAGCUAACGUUUUAAGUUGUCCGCCUGGGGAGUACGGCCGCAAGGCUAAAACUCAAAUGAAUUGACGGGGACCCGCACAAGCGGUGGAGCAUGUGGUUUAAUUCGAUGCAACGCGAAAAACCUUACCUACUCUUGACAUACUUGGGAGCUCUUGUAAUGAGAGUGUGCCUUUGGAACCAAGAUACAGGUGCUGCAUGGCU